RNAcentral lists this unclassified non-coding RNA (1767 nucleotides) under Homarus americanus (American lobster). RNAcentral's name for it is "set1/Ash2 histone methyltransferase complex subunit ASH2-like, transcript variant X5". The record is from RNAcentral. Lineage: Eukaryota; Metazoa; Arthropoda; Malacostraca; Decapoda; Nephropidae.
GAUCUUGAGCCAGGCAGGAACGACCCUUGGGUGUUGGUAGUGGUUAACUCGGGAGUUGGUUCAGUAAGAAUGAUGUUUCAGUGUUAAAUAUCAUACUGUAAAUUACAUAAAGUUGUGCAACUUUAAACACGUCAUAAUUUCAAAUCUACUGUUAAUCAGGUAUGAAAUAAGUGCCUAACGUCAAGAAUGGAACAAGGUAGCAACAGGACCUCAAGCAGGAUGGACUAUGACUCGGAUGAAAAUGAAGUCCUUGAAUCAGGAGUCGUGGACGUGGGAGAAAAGGGAGGGCUUUCCUCGUGUGGAUAUUGUGGGAAGCUUCGGAACUUGAAUGCCGUUGAGUUGAUGUGCUGGCAGUGUGGUUCUUGGUUCCAUGAAUCAUGUAUCAGUUAUCAGCUUGGCAAAUUGGUGCCCUUUAUGCUCAACUACUCCUUUACCUGCAAGACCUGCUCUUCAACUGGUGUUGAGACCUUUCGCAAAACUCAAGCACAACUUCGAGAUAUGUGCAUAACAGCUUUAGCCAACUUGCAGCAUGGAAAUAAAGAUAAUCGAGGAAACACAAUGUUCAGCCUGCAGCGAGAUGUUAUCCCUUUUUUAGAGCAAAACUGGGAGGCUCUGACCACUGCUGCUCGGCGCUCCACACAGUCAUGGCAUACAACUUUGCAGAGAAUGCUCAUGAAGGAGGUAGAUGCAUACUUUACUGUUGAGGAAACAGGCGAGAGUGGUGAGCCAACACAACACCACCCUUUCUUUGGCCUACUCACAUCAGAUCUUACGCUCAUCCGCCCAAUAGUGGAUGCACCUGGUGGGUGGCGGUCACCCCUCUCUGGCUCCUCUCAACAGCAGCAAUCAGGAAAGGGUCGAGGAGCAAAACGAAAGAUGCCGGAGACUACUGCUGGCAAUAAGAAGGCUCGAGGGGACAUGCCAGCACCAAAGCUUCAUGGUUAUCCAGUGGACCAUCCAUUUAAUAAAGAUGGUUAUAGAUACAUCCUUGCUGAGCCUGAUCCUCAUGCUCCUUUCAGACAAGAGUUUGAUGACAGCAAUGAUUGGGCAGGUAAACCAAUUCCUGGAUGGCUAUAUCGUGCCCUCAGUCCUGGGGCAGUAUUACUUGCUCUGCAUGACCGUGCACCACAACUUCGAACAGCUGAUGACCGUUUGGCCGUGACAGGAGACAAAGGUUAUUGUCUUAUCAGAGCCACUCAUGGUGUGAGUCGUGGAGUGUGGUAUUGGGAGUGCACCAUUGAUGAGCAACCAGAAGGUUCACACACUCGUAUUGGAUGGUGCCAGCAACUUGCAAACCUUCAGGCACCUCUUGGAUAUGAUAAAUUUGGCUAUUCAUGGAGGUCAAGGAAAGGUACAGUAUUUCAUGAAUCUCGAGGAAAGCAUUACUUCGAGGGCGGCUUUGGUGAGGGAGAUGUCCUUGGUAUAAUGAUUGACCUUCCUGAGAAGAACCCUGUGUCACAGUUUCCACCUACGUACAAGGAUAAGGAAUGGAAAAUGCUGUGGAGAAGCAUUCCAGAAUAUUUAUGGGGGCACAUAUUAUCCAGGAGUGUCUCUAUAUAGAAAUAUUACAUUAUCUGUGAAUUUUGGACCAGAUUUCAAGCACCCACCUGCCUCCUACGAGUACAGAGGGAUGCAUGAAAGGUGUGAAGAAUCCAUGGUGGAGCGGACACUAGCAGACAUGACUUACUUGGUAGAGAAUGAAGGGAAACUAAGAUUGGAUGUAUUCACUUGAGAAAAAUUAACCUGUAAUUUUAAACUAAAAUUACC